AGUGAAGCGGCAACAGCUCAAAUUUGAAAUCUGGCCCCGGCGGGGCCCGAGUUGUAAUUUGCAGAGGGUGUUUCGGGCGCGAUGCCGGUCUAAGUUCCUUGGAACAGGACGUCGUAGAGGGUGAGAAUCCCGUAUGCGACCGGCGAUCAAGCCCGUGCGAAGCCCCUUCGACGAGUCGAGUUGUUUGGGAAUGCAGCUCAAAAUGGGUGGUAAAUUUCAUCUAAAGCUAAAUACCGGCCAGAGACCGAUAGCGGACAAGUAGAGUGAUCGAAAGAUGAAAAGCACUUUGGAAAGAGAGUCAAACAGUACGUGAAAUUGUUGAAAGGGAAGCGCUUGCGAUCAGACCGGUCCGCCGGCGAUCAGCCGCUGCUCGUCAGCGGUGCACUCGCCGGCGAUCCGGCCAGCAUCGGUUCAGGCGGCGGGACAAAAACCUCGGGAACGUAGCUUCUCUCGGGGAGUCUUAUAGCCCGGGGCAUCAUGCCGCCCGCCCGGACCGAGGACCGCGCUUCGGCUAGGAUGCUGGCGUAAUGGUCGCAAGCG
This 540-nucleotide ribosomal RNA is filed under the name Sticta sp. RL-2013v. Its description in RNAcentral is "eukaryotic LSU rRNA". It matches the Rfam family "Eukaryotic large subunit ribosomal RNA", at positions 92 to 646 of the family's 3401-position model. The record is from RNAcentral. Lineage: Eukaryota; Fungi; Ascomycota; Lecanoromycetes; Peltigerales; Lobariaceae.